RNAcentral lists this ribosomal RNA (435 nucleotides) under uncultured bacterium. Its description in RNAcentral is "partial 16S ribosomal RNA". It matches the Rfam family "Bacterial small subunit ribosomal RNA", at positions 29 to 507 of the family's 1533-position model. The record is from RNAcentral.
AGCGAACGCUGGCGGCAGGCUUAACACAUGCAAGUCGAGCGGGGAUCUUCGGAUGUCAGCGGCAGACGGGUGAGUAACACGUGGGAACGUACCCUUCGGUACGGAACAACUCUGGGAAACUGGAGCUAAUACCGGAUACGCCCUUAUGGGGAAAGGUUUACUGCCGAAGGAUCGGCCCGCGUCUGAUUAGCUAGUUGGUGGGGUAACGGCCUACCAAGGCGACGAUCAGUAGCUGGUCUGAGAGGAUGAUCAGCCACACUGGGACUGAGACACGGCCCAGACUCCUACGGGAGGCAGCAGUGGGGAAUAUUGGACAAUGGGCGCAAGCCUGAUCCAGCCAUGCCGCGUGAGUGAUGAAGGCCUUAGGGUUGUAAAGCUCUUUUGUCCGGGACGAUAAUGACGGUACCGGAAGAAUAAGCCCCGGCUAACUUCGUG